This 440-nucleotide ribosomal RNA is filed under the name uncultured bacterium. Its description in RNAcentral is "partial 16S ribosomal RNA". It matches the Rfam family "Bacterial small subunit ribosomal RNA", at positions 338 to 795 of the family's 1533-position model. The record is from RNAcentral.
CCUACGGGUGGCAGCAGUGGGGAAUAUUGCACAAUGGGGGAAACCCUGAUGCAGCGACGCCGCGUGAAGGAAGAAGUAUUUCGGUAUUUAAACUUCUAUCAGCAGGGAAGAAAAUGACGGUACGUGACUAAGAAGCCCCGGCUAACUACGUGCCAGCACCAGCGGUAAUACGGAGGGGGCAAGCGUUAUCCGGAUUUACUGGGUGUAAAGGGAGGGUAGGCGGUGCAGUAAGUCAGAAGUGAAAGCCCGGGGUCCAAAUCCCGGACUGCUUUUGAAACUGUUGAACUAGAGUGCAGGAGAGGUAUGUGGAAUGCGUGGUGUAGCGGUGAAAUGCAUAGAUAUCAGGAAGAACACCGGUGGCGAAGGCAGCAUACUGGACUGUAAAUGACGCUGAGGCUCGAAAGCGUGGGGAUCGAACAGGAUUAGAUACCCCUGUAGUC